GACGAACGCUGGCGGCGUGCCUAAUACAUGCAAGUAGAACGCUGAAGAGAGGAGCUUGCUCUUCUUGGAUGAGUUGCGAACGGGUGAGUAACGCGUAGGUAACCUGCCUGGUAGCGGGGGAUAACUAUUGGAAACGAUAGCUAAUACCGCAUAAAAUGGAUUAUCGCAUGAUAAUCCAUUGAAAGGUGCAAAUGCAUCACUACCAGAUGGACCUGCGUUGUAUUAGCUAGUUGGUGGGGUAACGGCUCACCAAGGCGACGAUACAUAGCCGACCUGAGAGGGUGAUCGGCCACACUGGGACUGAGACACGGCCCAGACUCCUACGGGAGGCAGCAGUAGGGAAUCUUCGGCAAUGGACGGAAGUCUGACCGAGCAACGCCGCGUGAGUGAAGAAGGUUUUCGGAUCGUAAAGCUCUGUUGUAAGAGAAGAACGAGUGUGAGAGUGGAAAGUUCACACUGUGACGGUAUCUUACCAGAAAGGGACGGUUAACUACGUGCCAGCAGCCGCGGUAAUACGUAGGUCCCGAGCGUUGUCCGGAUUUAUUGGGCGUAAAGCGAGCGCAGGCGGUUAGAUAAGUCUGAAGUUAAAGGCUGUGGCUUAACCAUAGUACGCUUUGGAAACUGUUUAACUUGAGUGCAAGAGGGGGGAGUGGAAUUCCAUGUGUAGCGGUGAAAUGCGUAGAUAUAUGGAGGAACACCGGUGGCGAAAGCGGCUCUCUGGCUUGUAACUGACGCUGAGGCUCGAAAGCGUGGGGAGCAAACAGG
RNAcentral lists this ribosomal RNA (765 nucleotides) under uncultured Streptococcus sp. RNAcentral describes it as "bacterial SSU rRNA". It matches the Rfam family "Bacterial small subunit ribosomal RNA", at positions 28 to 776 of the family's 1533-position model. The record is from RNAcentral. Lineage: Bacteria; Bacillati; Bacillota; Bacilli; Lactobacillales; Streptococcaceae.